UACGUGAGGGUGCAAGCGUUAAUCGGAAUUACUGGGCGUAAAGCGUGCGCAGGCGGUGAUGUAAGACAGAUGUGAAAUCCCCGGGCUCAACCUGGGAACUGCAUUUGUGACUGCAUCGCUGGAGUACGGCAGAGGGGGGAUGGAAUUCCGCGUGUAGCAGUGAAAUGCGUAGAUAUGCGGAGGAACACCGAUGGCGAAGGCAAUCCCCUGGGCCUGUACUGACGCUCAUGCACGAAAGCGUGGGGAGCAAACAGG
Molecule: ribosomal RNA, 255 nt
Filed under: uncultured bacterium
Lineage: Bacteria
Description: partial 16S ribosomal RNA
Rfam family: Bacterial small subunit ribosomal RNA
Source: RNAcentral